UGCCUUUCGACUUUACUAUGAAAGGUUCAUCCUGCCCAAUGACUCUUAGUUCAAUGGCCGCGGUAUCUUGACCGUGCAAAGGUAGCAUAAUCACUUGCCCCUUAAUUAGGGGCUGGCAUGAAAGGACACACGAAAGCUUCCCUGUCUCACAAUAAUAAAUAAAAAUUAAUCUUUAAGUGAAAAAGCUUAAAUAAAAUUGCAGGACAAGAAGACCCCGUUGAGCUUUAUUCUCUAUAGACCAAUCUAAAUAUUUAUUAUAUCAUAAACCUAAAAAAGAAUUUAGUUGGGGUGACUAAGGAACAUCAUAAACUUCCUCUAUCUAUUUAGGGCUAUUCCCCAAAAAAAUUGACCCACAAACCGUGAUCAAAAAAAUAAGCUACCACAGGGAUAACAGGCUAAUCUUUCUUAAGAGCCCAAAUUGUCAGAAAGGAUUGGCACCUCGAUGUUGGCUUAGGGGCCCCUAAUGGUGCAGAAGCCAUAAAAGGUAGGUUUGUUCAACCUUUAAAACCCU
This 511-nucleotide ribosomal RNA is filed under the name Seepiophila jonesi. RNAcentral describes it as "partial 16S ribosomal RNA". It matches the Rfam family "Bacterial large subunit ribosomal RNA", at positions 1829 to 2597 of the family's 2925-position model. Lineage: Eukaryota; Metazoa; Annelida; Polychaeta; Sabellida; Siboglinidae. The record is from RNAcentral.